This 704-nucleotide ribosomal RNA is filed under the name uncultured organism. Its description in RNAcentral is "bacterial SSU rRNA". It matches the Rfam family "Bacterial small subunit ribosomal RNA", at positions 334 to 1054 of the family's 1533-position model. The record is from RNAcentral.
GACUCCUACGGGAGGCAGCAGUGGGGAAUCUUGCACAAUGGGCGAAAGCCUGAUGCAGCCAUGCCGCGUGAAUGAUGAAGGCCCUAGGGUUGUAAAAUUCUUUCAUCAGGGACGAUAAUGACGGUACCUGAAGAAGAAGCCCCGGCUAACUUCGUGCCAGCAGCCGCGGUAAUACGAAGGGGGCUAGCGUUGUUCGGAAUUACUGGGCGUAAAGCGCGCGUAGGCGGACUAUUAAGCCAGAUGUGAAAUCUCGGGGCUCAACCUCGGAACUGCAUUUGGAACUGGUAGUCUAGAGGCCAGGAGAGGUUAGUGGAAUGCCGAGUGUAGAGGUGAAAUUCGUAGAUAUUCGGUGGAACACCAGUGGCGAAGGCGACUGACUGGACUGGUACUGACGCUGAGGUGCGAAAGUGUGGGGAGCAAACAGGAUUAGAUACCCUGGUAGUCCACACCGUAAACGAUGAGUGCUAGUUGUCGGCAGGCAUGCCUGUCGGUGACGCAGCUAACGCAUUAAGCACUCCGCCUGGGGAGUACGGCCGCAAGGUUAAAACUCAAAGAAAUUGACGGGGGCCCGCACAAGCGGUGGAGCAUGUGGUUUAAUUCGAAGCAACGCGCAGAACCUUACCUACCCUUGACAUGCCCGGUUUGGUCGCCAGAGAUGGCUUCCUUGAUUCGUUCGCCGGUGCACAGGUGCUGCAUGGCUGUCG